RNAcentral lists this ribosomal RNA (484 nucleotides) under uncultured bacterium. RNAcentral describes it as "partial 16S ribosomal RNA". It matches the Rfam family "Bacterial small subunit ribosomal RNA", at positions 30 to 507 of the family's 1533-position model. The record is from RNAcentral.
AUUGAACGCUGGCGGCAGGCCUAACACAUGCCAGUCGAGCGGAUGAAGGGAGCUUGCUCCUGGAUUCAGCGGCGGACGGGUGAGUAAUGCCUAGGAAUCUGCCUGGUAGUGGGGGAUAACGUCCGGAAACGGGCGCUAAUACCGCAUACGUCCUGAGGGAGAAAGUGGGGGAUCUUCGGACCUUACGCUAUCAGAUGAGCCUAGGUCGGAUUAGCUAGUUGGUGGGGUAAAGGCCUACCAAGGCGACGAUCCGUAACUGGUCUGAGAGGAUGAUCAGUCACACUGGAACUGAGACACGGUCCAGACUCCUACGGGAGGCAGCAGUGGGGAAUAUUGGACAAUGGGCGAAAGCCUGAUCCAGCCAUGCCGCGUGUGUGAAGAAGGUCUUCGGAUUGUAAAGCACUUUAAGUUGGGAGGAAGGGCAGUAAGUUAAUACCUUGCUGUUUUGACGUUACCAACAGAAUAAGCACCGGCUAACUUCGUG